Molecule: ribosomal RNA, 800 nt
Filed under: uncultured metazoan
Lineage: Eukaryota; Metazoa
Description: bacterial SSU rRNA
Rfam family: Eukaryotic small subunit ribosomal RNA
Source: RNAcentral
CCAUGCAUGCCUCAGUACAUGGCCUUUAUAUGGUGAAACCGCGAAUGGCUCAUUAAAUCAGCUAUGGUUCCUUGGAUCAUAAUAAUACUACACGGAUAACUGUAGUAAUUCUAGAGCUAAUACGUGCCUCGAUGCCCUGAUCCGCAAGGUGAGGGGUGCAUUUAUUAGAUUGCAAACCAAACGGGUUCGCUCGUGGCUUGUGAUGACUCUGGAUAAUUUUGUAUGAUCGCAGCUGGCCUUGUUGUCGGCGAUGGAUCCAUCAAAUAUCUGCCCUAUCAACUUUCGAUGGUAGGUGACAUGCCUACCAUGGUGAUGACGGGUAACGGGGAAUCAGGGUUCGAUUCCGGAGAGGGAGCCUGAGAAACGGCUACCACAUCCAAGGAAGGCAGCAGGCGCGCAAAUUACCCACUCUCUGAACGAGGAGGUAGUAAAGACAAAUAUCGAUACAGAACUCGCAAGAGGCUCUGUAAUCGAAAUGAGUGCAUUUUAAAUCCUACAACGAGGAUCUAUUGGAGGGCAAGUCUGGUGCCAGCAGCCGCGGUAACUCCAGCUCCAAUAGCAUAUAUUAAAGUUGCUGCAGUUAAAAAGCUCGUAGUUGGAUCUGGGCUUCGCUACGAUUGCCAGCUGUUGUCGGUUUUGCUUCGGUAAGACUGGCAGGUUGGUACAUUCGAGCGUUGCUUCGUAGCUGUGUCCAGGUGUCUUCACGGACGCUUGGAUGGCGUUGGGUGUCUGGGGCGACUCCUUAAACGGGGGUUGUUCCGGCUCAGCGCUAUGUGCCGCGAUGCCCUUCACUGGGUGUC